GUCUUUUGGUUAUUUAUAAAGGUGUAUUUAGUUAAAUAGUUUUAAAAAGGGGUUGUUGUUUUUUUUGGUAAAAAAAAGUUUGAGGCGCGAGACUCUGCAUAGUAAAAUACAGAGGCUAAGCACCUCGAACAAAGAGCACAAAGGGGUGUGUAAGUCUAUAGAGAGAAAAAAGGUUUACUUUUUUUUCCUAUGAUGAUCCUUCCGCAGGUUCACCUACGGAAA
Molecule: unclassified non-coding RNA, 222 nt
Filed under: uncultured fungus
Lineage: Eukaryota; Fungi
Description: sequence contains ITS1
Source: RNAcentral